GGAUUGUGGCUCAGAGGUAGAGUUCCCGCCUAGCAUGCGUGAGGCACUAGGUUCAAUCCUCAGCACCA
RNAcentral lists this transfer RNA (68 nucleotides) under Marmota monax (woodchuck). Its description in RNAcentral is "tRNA.Ala". Lineage: Eukaryota; Metazoa; Chordata; Mammalia; Rodentia; Sciuridae. The record is from RNAcentral.